AAGGCCUGCCUUUUCUCAGGGCUGCCCUGCCCAGGGAGGAGGCAGCCUAGUCACAGUCUGCAUGCAGAGGCUUUGCUGAGUUGCUGUGGGCUCUGACCAGCUGCCCUGUGAGCUUCCCUGCGGUUCUGUUUAUAGGGGUAUAGUUAGAACUGCCUCUCUAAUGGCGGACUACCUCAGCGGUGGUGGACUGCCUCGGUAAUGGCGGACUACCUCAGCAGUGGUGGACUGCCUCGGUAAUGGCGGACUACCUCAGCAGUGGUGGACUGCCUCGGUAAUGGCGGACACCCCUCCCCAACAGAGGGGGACUGUCCCGGGUUCAGCUGCCCUUGCUGAGAAACUCAAUCCAGAGCGCUUCAGAUUGCUGAUUUUUGUGGGGGUAGGACCGGCUGAGCUUGAUCACCUGGCUCCUUGCCUCAGACCUGUCCCCCCCCCCCAGGCAGCUCUGUCCCCCAGGUGUCUCAGUCACCAGUUGAAACAGCGCCAGAUUUGUGUGAUUUCUUGUGCGUUGACCCGCUGCGCCAGCUGAAACAGCUUCUAGAGACUCGUGGCGCUUUUUCACCAGGGAAUCACCUGGCCUGGCUCCCUGUUCCAGCCCCCAUUUUUUCAGUUGAAUGGGCGUCUCUGCCUCCCAGGCGUUUCAGUCACCUGUUGAGAAGGUGCCCGGAUUUGUGAGAUUUUGUGCAGAGAUCUGCUGCUCAGGCUGGGCCGCACUGCGGGCUCACGGCGCCAUUUUGCCGGGAAUCUCCUGGCCCGACGCCUGUUUCAGUCAGCUUUUUAUCAGCUGAACGGGCGUCUCUGCCUCCCAGGCGUUUCAGUCACCUGUUGAGAAUGCGCGGAGAUCUGUGUGGUUUCCCCUGUGGCAAGCCACUGCGCCGCAGCCCCCCAGAGAUUCGUGGGGCUUCUUCGCCCGGGAAUCUCCUGGCCUGGCUCCCUGUCUGAGUCAGCUUUCUAUCAGUUGAACGGGCGACCCUGCCUCCCAGGAGUUCCAAUGGCCAGCUACCUGGACCCAGUAUUGUGUGUGGAGAGCCGCUGUGCCGGCCAAAAAGGCCGCGCUCGCGACCUGUGGGGCUUCUCCGCCCGGGAAUCUCCUGGUCUGUGGGCAAUAAGAAUCCGUCUGGAAAUGUGGCGUCCAGUUCCCCUUCGUGCGGUCACUGGGAGCUGCGGUCCUCAGUUGCUCCUUCCUAAUCGGCCAUCUUGGAUCAGGACUCCAAUCUCUGUUACUUCUUUCUAAGGUGAAAACAAGCAAACGAAUCCAUUAAUCAUCAGCCUACUGUGAGCAAGGGAAGCAUGAAGAAUCGGAGGACUGAGCGGACGUACACAGUGAUAUGUUUUGAGAAGAGCCAGAGAGGAUUUCUGGCUGGAGAUCCCACCACCAAUUGCUGUGGUCCUGACAUUUCACCAUUAACAAGUCAUUCCUAGACAUCUUAAAGGCUUUCUGGUAUUCAAAGGACCUCAGGCAUAACUACCUCAUAAAUGGUUGCUGAAUACUGGCCAAAACACUUAACUAAAUGAAAAUUAAAAGUGCCACUCAUCAGGUAAGAAGAGUCCUGAAACCCCUGUUUCUGGUCUUGAUUCUACCAUUAACUUCUAGGAAAUUUUACCUCUACCAGUGACAGACAUUGGGAUAAUCAUUCCCUGGACCUUUGUUUCUCCUCUGCAAAAGGAGGUGCUUUAAAUAUGUAAUUGAUUUCUAGGGUCUUUUCCAUCUAUAAAGAUUGAAUCUCUGACAGUUGGCCUCUAAAUCAGAAUACUCAGAGGUGUUUGAACCAGAGCAACUCCAUCUUGAACCGGUGCUGAGUAAACAAAGGUUGAGACUUGCUGGGCUGCAUUUCCAGUUAGUUAGGCAUUCUAAGUCAUAGGAUGAGAGAGGAGGUCAGCAUAAGAUACAGGUCAUAAAGACAUUGCUGAGAAAACAGGUGACAGUAAAAAAACUGGCCAAAACUUACCCAAUCAAGGUGACAAGAGUGAGCUCUGGUUGUCUGCACUGCUACACUCCCACCAGCACCAUGAUAGUUUACAAAUGCCAUGGCAACAUCAGGAAGUUACCCUAUCUGGUCUAAAAAGGGGAGGCAUGAAUAAGCCACCCUUGUUUAGCAUAUCAUCAAGAUAGAACCAUAAAAGACAACUAGUAGCUCUUAGAGCUGCUCUGCUUAUGGACUAGCCAUUCUUUCAUUCCUUUACUUUCUUAAUAACUUGCUUUCAUUUUACUCGAUGGACUUGCCUUAAAUUCUUUCUUGUGGGAGAUCCAAGAACCCUCCCUUGGAUCUGGAUCAGGACCCCUUUCCAGCAGCAUUUAGAGAGGGAAAGUGAAGGCUUCCUAGAGAAAGUAGGAAAGUAGAAAAACAAAUGAGAAAAAAAAAAAAACCAAGGUCUAAAAAUUUGAGGAGAAAUGCUGCCAUAGGGAGAAACAUAAUAAUUAUUUACUUCGUAAAGUAUUAUUUUUAAUAAUUUUUCAUAUUUAUUAAAUCCUUAGAAAAAUUCUAGGAAUUUGAUAUUAUGAUUUUUAAUGAACAAAUAAGGAAACUGAAGUUUGUAAAGUCCUUAAAUCACUUGCCAAAGAUACAUGUUGAUUAAGGGGUUGAGUCUAAAAACAAACCAAGAUCUUGGGAUGGAAACCUAGACCCCCUAAAAGGAUCCACCUGCAAGGAAGGAAGUGCCUUGGAAAGAAGAUGAACCGAAAGCACAUUCAGCCUCGGUUUUUCUAGCUAUAUAUGUGAUGUUCAGUCUUCCCUAUAUUUCAGGUAGUAUAAAUACAAAAGGCCAUGGGCCCUGCAUAAGAACAUUUUCUGAUUUAAAAUGUACUAAUUUUAUUUUUUAUCCUGUCAAGGCAUGUACACAUGAAAAGGAAAGGAAGUUGUGGAGUUAUUUGAGGUAUAUCUAAGUUUUUUUUAAAUGUACAUUGGAAAUUAUGAAAACUGUAUUCUGUGCCCUAGUGCUCUCAACACAUUAUCAAAUUAUGUAAAUAAAUACCUGGGCAAAUUCCUUUAUUUAUUCAAUGUUUAUGCAGUUAGAGUUUUAAAAAAUGCUAUUUUUAGGCUUGGCAUGGUGGUGCAUGCCUGCGGUCCUGGCUACUCAGGUGGCUAUGAUGGGAGGAUCGCUUGAGCCCACAGGUUCAUGACCAGCCUGGGCAACAUAGCAAGACCCCGUCUGUCUUGCUUUUUAAAAAAAGCUAUAUUUAAAAAUUAUAGGAGGCAACAAAAGCAGUUAUCAGAGAGAAAAAUUAUUAUUUAUAAUUCUUAUGUUAGAAAAGAGUAAAGGCUUAAAACUGAGUGAACUAAAUACCCAACCUAAAAAAUCUGAAAAAGAACAAUACAAUAAACCCAAAGAAAAAAGAUAAUAGAAAUAAGUACAAAACCAAAUUAAACCAAAAGUAAAAUUUCAAAAAGCUAAAAGUUGUUCCUUAAAGAGAUAAAUGUUGGCAGAGAACUAGAGGACGCCACACUUUCAGACAAAUUCUGGUACCUCAUGGAGCAGAAGAUCCCCAGAGGAGGAACCACACGGGUUGCCAACGCGAUUCUUGUGGCCGGCACAGCUGUUUCGCCGGCACCUCAGCGCGGCAGCUCUCAGAGCAGAGUAAACAGGGCCGGACCGAGGUUUGGAGCCCGGGGAAGGCAGAGUUGCCAUUUACUGACACAAGAAGGAAGCCAGACAGGAGAAUCCUGGGCGGAAAAGCACCAUCAGUCUUAACGCUGCCGUUCUGGCCCUGGGAACUAACAACUUGGACGUCCAAUCAAGAGACCUAAUCUGAAAGUUGGUAAUUUCAAAGACGACAGGAGGAUAAAUUUACAAUGAUGGGAAGAAACCAGCAUAAAAAGGCUGAGAAUACUCAAAAUCAGAACGCCUCUCCCUCUAAAGAUGAUCACAGUUCCACAUCAACAAUGGACAAGGCUUGACAGAGAACGAGCGCAUCCCAAUGACAGAAUCACUCUUUAAGGAAUGGAUAAUAAGAAACUUCUGUGAGUUAAAAGAACAUGUUGUAGCCCAACGUAAAGAAACUAGGAACUUUGAAAAAAGAUUUGAUGAAAUCCUAUUGAGAAUAGACAACUUAGAGAGGAAUAUAAGUGAAUUAAUGGAACUGAAGAAUACAAUACGGGAACUCCGAGAAUUAUGCACAGGUUUAAACACUCGAAUUGUUCAAGCAGAAUAAAGGAUAUCAGAGGUCAAAGUCCAACUUAAUGAAAUAAAAUGAGAAGACGAGAUUAGAGAAAAAAGGAUAAAAAGGAAUGAGCAAAGUCUCCAAGAAAUGUGGGACUAUGUGAAAAGACCAAAUUUACGUUUGAUAGGUGUACCUGAAUGCGAUGGAGAGAAUGAAUCCAAGCUGGAAAAUACCCUUCAGGAUAUUAUUCAGGAAAAUUUUCCUAAACUAGCAAAGCAGGUCAAUAUUCAACCCCAGGUAAUACAGAGAACACCACAAAGAUAUUCCUCAAGAAGAACAACCCCAAGGCACAUAAUCGUUAGAUUCACCAGGGUUGAAACGAAGGAGAAAAUACUAAGGGCAGCCAGAGAGAAAGGUCAGGUUACCCACAAAGGCAAGCCUAUCAGACUUACAGCAGAUCUCUCAGCAGAAACUCUACAAGCCAGAAGAGAGUGGGGGCCAAUAUUCAACAUCCUCAAAGAACAGAACCUUCAGCCCAGAAUUUCAUAUCCAGCCAAACUAAGCUUCACAACUGAAGGAAAAAUAAAAUCUUUUAUGAACAAGCAAGUACUCAGAGAUUUUAUUACCACCAGGCCUGCUUUACAAGAGCUUCUGAAAGAGGCAUUACACACAGAAAGAAACAACCAGUAUUAGCCUUACUAAAAAUAUACCAAAAAGUAAAGAGCACCAACAUAAAGAAGAAUUUUCAUCAACGAAUGGAUAAAACAGCCAGUUAACAUCAAAUGACAGUAACCCUAAAUUUAAAUUGACUAAAUCCCCCAAUCAAAAGACACAGCCAAAACCCAAGGGCAUGUUACAUCCAGACCUGUUUCACAUGUAAGGAUACACAAAGACUCAAAACAAAGGGAUGGAGAAAGAUUUACCAACCAAAUGGAAAGCAGAAAUAAAUAAAUAAAUAAAUAAAAAGCAGGAGUUGCAAUUCUCGUAUCAGAUAAAAUAGAUUUUAAAGCAACAAAGAUAUAGUGGUAAAAAGAUCAAUACAACAACAAGAGCUAACGAUCCUAACACCCAGAUACAUAGAGACUUAGAUUCAAUGAGACAGAAAAUUAAUAAGGAUAUCAAGGACGCGAACUCAGAUCUGCAACAAGUAAACUUAAUACAUAUUUGUAGAGCUCUCCACUUCAAAUACAUAAAAUAUACAUUCUUGUCAAUACCACAUCAAACCUACUUAUAGGUUUAAAUGAAACAUUGAUUGGCCAUUAUUAAUACCCAUUUUUUUUUUCAGAAUAAAGCAAUAGUUCCAUUCACCCUCCCUCUCUCUCUUCCUCUUUCUUUCUCUCCUUUACUCAUUUUUUUUUCUUUCCUUCUCUCAAAAAAAGAAAUCAACUUGUAAACGUCUAGAUCCAGGUCGGCAAUGUCUCUCUCAUUGCUUGAAUUCCUUCCUUCCCUUCCCUCCCUCCCUUCCUC
Molecule: long non-coding RNA, 5563 nt
Organism: Callithrix jacchus (white-tufted-ear marmoset)
Lineage: Eukaryota; Metazoa; Chordata; Mammalia; Primates; Cebidae
Source: RefSeq, a predicted model, not a curated record